CGGCAGUGUUCCAGUCUUGCCAGUAGAGGGUGCUGCAGAGCCUAGUCAGGCAUCAUCCCCGCUUCCAGCUGACCCGCAUUCACCAGCGCUGUACAGACACGGGACAGGACCCGAGCGCGGCGAACUAGUCAACAACACCGUGGAGUUUCCUCCCCCACGUACACCGUGACCGUGAAAUUCUGGCAGUCCCGGGGUGGCAGGUCGCUGCUGUCGCCUGUUUUCGCUCUUGACAGCGCGUUGAAAGAGGAAGCAGUCUCCCCCAGGAGCUUCAGGCGAACCGGCUGAAGCUGACCGGAAUUACACUGUAGCGUUCAUUUGUUUCUCUUUUCUUUAAUUUGCCGCUCCCGGUGACAUGUUUUAUGUCGACUCUGCUGGAGGUGCUUUUCUAUCCGGAGUGGACUACAGCGCUACAAAGUGACCCGGAGAAAGAGACAGAGGCGCCUCGCAGUCAGUCACGGUGGUGCAAGGUGGACAUCCUGAGACAACCAAUCAGUUCUUGUCAAAAGGCAGAGGCGUUUAUCAAGUCUUUAUCCUCAGACGAAUGCAGCUGCAAACACUAAAAACUGACAGUAGCACCUUUUUUACCUCCAACGAUCGUCCCACAAUCUUCCCAGAGAAAACUCUUGUUCUCUCUAUCUCACAGGACUCUAGAAGUUUUCUCUGUUUUACUCAGGUCUUUUCUCCCAAUGCCUACCUCCUCCACUAAAGCACUGUACCCAGAGACAACCUGCUUUACCUUCUAAACUCUUCAAGCUGAUGAAGAGCAUUGACUUAAGACCUCAAACGUCCUGUCGUCUAUAUAAGCUACAAAGCAGCCACACUCAUCAACCUGGGCCAGUGGAAAUUAUUCAAACUGGAAGACGGACAAUAGCUACUUCAGCCUCUCAUCGUCCGCUUGUUGAAUCUGGCUGAAAGCUAUAUACCUCAGUUAUUAUUUUCUGGAAGACAUUUGUGUGCAGAAAACUCAAGGCGACAAUCAUUGACGGAAUUGAUCCAACAGACAGGAGUUAAUAUCCAAGCAAGGUGCAAGCUGCAAAGUAGAGAAGCAGCACUGGUGUCUUCCAUUUGCCUUGGGGAGAAAAAAAUAUGACCAGGGAGAAAAGUGGAGUACUGCCUUGGAGAAAACAUAACUUCAUGUUUCCCAGCAUAUAAGCCGGACUAUCUAAGCUAUCUAAAUACACCGGCAAAAAACACAGGGGGCUUUCAGUGAGCUUAUUUUUACACCUAAUGCCCCCAAGCAGCAGCAGAAGGUCUUGAACAUUUCGCCAGCUGUUUCUGUGCUGCAAUUGAGACACAAAGAAUCUUUCUGGGAGUUCAAAUGCAAAUAAUCCUCACAGGUGGCAGAAGAGGCACAGAAGAACUGAGCAAGUGAAGAAGGAUGUAAUGCUCUCCGUCCAACUUGCCGUGCUCCCGUCCCGCGGUUCCCGUUCACGGAUUCCUCUGGUUGGCUGUUGAGAAGGCUGCCGGCGAAUGCUGAGCAGGUCGACCUGUCUGAGGUACGCCUCCCGGCUCUGCGAUUGGUCGCUGGAUGCUACUGAAGUUGAACGGCAACGAUGUUCGACAAGCAGGAGAGCAAUUCAUCAGAGAGCGAUGAGAAAGGGUAAGGCAGGUUGUUUGAG
Molecule: long non-coding RNA, 1619 nt
Organism: Poecilia latipinna (sailfin molly)
Lineage: Eukaryota; Metazoa; Chordata; Actinopteri; Cyprinodontiformes; Poeciliidae
Exons: 3
Source: RefSeq, a predicted model, not a curated record